CUUCGGCCCUCUGGCCAUGCAUCCUGAAAUUAGCCCCCAAAUAGCUGUCACGUUAGGCCAUUAGAAAUAAUAGCUUGAUAUUAUGACUAUCAGAGACUUUAUUACAGCCAUCAUCUAUUUUCUUCUUAAAAUAUGAGAAUGGCCAAAGACAGGACAAACUCUCUGACCCCUUUUGUCAACCCAUGCCAUAAAUGUGCAUGGCCUUCAC
This 208-nucleotide long non-coding RNA is filed under the name Elaeis guineensis (African oil palm). Its description in RNAcentral is "long non-coding RNA (EGUI_LNC021692)". Lineage: Eukaryota; Viridiplantae; Streptophyta; Magnoliopsida; Arecales; Arecaceae. The record is from RNAcentral.